RNAcentral lists this ribosomal RNA (301 nucleotides) under uncultured bacterium. RNAcentral's name for it is "partial 16S ribosomal RNA". It matches the Rfam family "Bacterial small subunit ribosomal RNA", at positions 509 to 807 of the family's 1533-position model. The record is from RNAcentral.
CAGUCGCCGCGGUAAUACGUAGGGUGCGAGCGUUAAUCGGAAUUACUGGGCGUAAAGCGAGCGCAGACGGUUACUUAAGCAGGAUGUGAAAUCCCCGGGCUCAACCUGGGAAUUGCGUUCUGAACUGGGUGGCUAGAGUGUGUCAGAGGGGGGUAGAAUUCCACGUGUGGCAGUGAAAUGCGUAGAGAUGUGGAGGAAUACCGAUGGCGAAGGCAGCCCCCUGGGAUAGCACUGACGUUCAUGCCCGAAAGCGUGGGUAGCAAACAGGAUUAGAUACCCCAGUAGUCCCUGUCUCUUAUAC